RNAcentral lists this ribosomal RNA (360 nucleotides) under uncultured bacterium. RNAcentral's name for it is "partial 16S ribosomal RNA". It matches the Rfam family "Bacterial small subunit ribosomal RNA", at positions 338 to 715 of the family's 1533-position model. The record is from RNAcentral.
CCUACGGGGGGCAGCAGUAGGGAAUAUUGCUCAAUGGGGGAAACCCUGAAGCAGCAACGCCGCGUGGAGGAUGACGGUUUUCGGAUUGUAAACUCCUUUUGUUAGAGAAGAUAAUGACGGUAUCUAACGAAUAAGCACCGGCUAACUCCGUGCCAGCAGCCGCGGUACUACGGAGGGUGCAAGCGUUACUCGGAAUAACUGGGCGUAAAGGGCGCGUAGGCGGGUUAGCAAGUCAGAUGUGAAAUCCUAUGGCUAAACAAUAGAACUGCAUUUGAAACUGUUAUUCUAGAGUAUGGGAGAGGUAGGGGGAAUUCGUGGGGUAGGGGAAAAAUGCUGAGAAAUCAAGAAGAACUCGCAUUG